AAAGUAAGUAAAAUAUAUGAAACUGGACCUGGGGUUUUUCAUAGGAAGGGCUUUCAGUCCUCACUUUCACUCUAUCCAACUGCUUCAGCCACAUUCUAAAUCCGUAGGGAUUAACGGCAUAUGGCACAGAAUUGCAUCCUGGUUUUUAGAGAAAAAUAAUCCAGAUGGUGUAGACGGGUACUGAACACACACACACACACACACACACACACACACACACACGAGUCAUGUUUCAUUAUAGUGUGACUGGUGUUAUGCUAUUGUUCACGAAGGUAAAAAUGACCCAGAAUAUGAAGUGUUGAAUGCACAGGAGGCUGUGAGAAGAUGCUCAGUUUAUUUAAUGAAUGAAACAAACAAAAAAAAACCCCAAACACUACAAAGUUGUGAACAGGACAGGAAAAGCAAAGGCAUACGAGGAUAUGCAUUUCAAACAGAAUGUUUUUUGAGCUUAUCUUGAAUCUGACUGUUUGCACAACGUUUCCCUUGUUCAUAUUUGUUUUCCCUUUAUAUGCAGAAAUACUAUUUUCAGGACCUAUGCACCGAGUCUGGAUUUUUCCCACCUCGCCACUCUUCGAAGCAGAUGAAAGGCAUAUCUUAUAUCUGUACAAGUUUCUUUCGGCUCUGUUUUGGGUUCUUACGCCUAUAACACUGGGUUAAUUAUAUCCCCCAUGAAUUAAGCAGAUGAGGACACACUUCCUUCAGUGGAGCUAUAUAUACAUAUUUUCUACAUAUGGCCAGAGUAAGACUAAGCAAGCUUGCUGCUAACAUUCGCGGGCCUGGGGCAAGAAUGUAUACUAUAUGCAGGACUAUUUAAAACUAUACAUCAAAUUAGCAAAUUAUUAGAUAAAACAAAAUUUUUUCAUACCUUGACUGAGAUACUUUCAUAAAAAUAUACUUUCAUAAAAAAAUAAGCUAACUUUAAGCUUAGGAUUUCUAGAUUCUCAGGUUUCGAUUCUAGGAUAUGACAGUGUGAGGAGGAUUGGUCCUCGGCCCCUCAUCCCCUUCUCUUCACCUUGGAUUCCUCUUGUCUUUUCAAGGGCUUUACACAUGUGUGAAGCAUCCCAGCUUACACAUCUAAAUUUCUACCAACCCUCCCAAGAAGCAGCUGUGGCUACAUAUCUCCAUGGAGUAUAUUCAAACAGAAAAUUGUUUUGAAAGUUCUUUUCCCAAAAUUAUAGAAAUUUCAAGCGAACAUCUAGAAACACUUGCCUUAACCACGAUUAUUCUUUCCACUCUACUUUUUCCCAUGCCUAUGUCAUGUAAUAUUUAGAAUGCUGGUGCGUGAUAUCUCUUGGUAAAUGUAUCCCUGGAUGAAGAAAAUGAAGUUCAAGGAUGUCAACAUUCGGAAGUUUUAAAAAUUCAUAGGUUAAGAAAAGAAUACACUUAUCCCACGUCUCCAAGGGAAAGCCAAUAUCAAUAUUGGGACAUUAGCUGAAGAAUUUUUCUUCCUAAAAUACUAUUAAGAACAAUUACCAAACCUAAGGUGCAACUGAGGGAAAAGCUAAUCAAACAAACUUCAGAAGACAUUUUACAAUGAAUAUUUAUUAGUCAAUUUUAAGAUUGUGAAUGAGGUAUGGUCUACUACAGACGUUCUCUGUCAAUAUUUUAUGACUGUGCUGAAGUGUCCUGGGAGAACCUAGGGAGGAAAUUGCUUUCUGGGAGCUAAACUGUGAAGUCAACAUACAGUAGAUCAGAUCAGAGAUCUGCGAAGUUGCCAUAAAGGAAAAUAUUGGCUUCCUGAAUUGCAAAACUAAAUAAUCCAAUAGAAGUAGUGAAAGAUCAAGAGAAGGAAUACGUCCAUCAGAGAGAAGUCGGUCAGAAGAUGAAGUACAGAGAAGAGGGUCUCACAAUUGAGUUACCUGUGUCACUAGAAAUAAAGUCAGGGGGAAAAUAUGCCUUUUUAGACAAAUCGUAAAUUCACCUGUAUCAUUGGAUAGGCCAAGCCUAGGGCGGGCAUGCACCUGUCAGCUGUCCUAUCCUGCCGUCACAUAUUUAUAUCAUUUACCUUCCUCUCCUUGUUCUAACUCCGUUCUCUCCAGGCCUUCUCCUGAUAAAGAAUGUGUUUCCCAUGGAGAACCGUCUAACUGGCCGAUCGGGCCUGCCAGACUGAUACGGAUUAUGUGACCACGAUUGUGUUGUUGUGUAUCCAUCAAGAGGCAUUGUAGUCCAUGAGACUGUGACUUCUCUGCCCAGACAUCUUAUUAGCAGAAACCUGAUAUUUCUGUCAUAUUUCCGGCUUAAUCAAAUAAGCAAACCAAAAGUACAUUUUCCAGCCUCUCUUGGAGGAUACUAUGGCUGAAAAACAACAACAACAACAACAAAACAGCCGAGAAUCAAAGGCUCCCAGGACAGUGGUAGUGUGCAGUGGUCACACUUCUCUUAAGCUACUCACUGCUGAACACUUUGUUCUAUGGAAAACCACAACAAAACAACGGUCUCCUUUAGAUUAGCUGCCACUGUAGAGAGUCUGUGUUGCCUGCACCCAAAUCCGAUCCUAAGUGACGGCCUAGGUCUUCUAGUCAGCCUUUGAAAAAUUGUUGUCCCAAAGCUGAGGAUGGCAAAUUCAUUAAGUCAACAAGUAAUAAUCGAGUGCGUACUGUGUGUGACGUUCUUGGCAGACACUUGUACGUAAGCCGGUACUGUUCCUCGUCCGUAGGGUGAAAAAUGAGUUUAGAGAGAAGACAGGGAAAGUGAGAGUAACCAAGGGUGAGUAAAACUGGCAUUAUGGCAAAUACCCCGAAGGAAAUGAUGGGAGUGAAGGGCUAGGCACAGCGAGGUAGAAAGCAUUCACCUAGGGGCUGGCGAGAGCUGCUAUGGACAAAUGCAUUUUUGGAACAAACAUGGAAUAAAUGGAGCAUGAGCUUUGCAAGGAGCAGCUUUAGGGGAUGAAGAGCGUUUGCAAAUCCACCUGGGAAUGGCAUUUCCUGGGGCCUCCAGGUUUUGCUACCAGGCAUCUGCUGUCACUCUAAUCUUGUCCUUUUGCUUGACUUCUUAUAAUGUCUCAAGACAAAGCAGAGAGGGACAGUUUGGGAGGCUUUUUGCAUAAUUAGGAAUGAGCCCCACACUUGGUUUCACUUUCCUUUGCCAGCCACCCUUGCAUGGGAGUUUAUUAUCAGUUCUUUACCAUUGUCUCCACUUCCUCAUACACAAGGAUGGCUUUGCUGUUGUGCAUCCCAGUCUUUCCCUUCCAAAACCUUUCCUGAGAAUGAAUUCCAGCAGAGUGCUCUCUAAGGCUGUAAUUACGCUUCUGAAAUAAAAAAUGCUUUAUUGGAUGAGGUCUGUUUUUCAUUGAUUCUCUCUACACCACCAACAUGUAUGAAGCCUUAUUUCACAGUAUUUACAGGGAAAAAGUACCAGCGACUAGGCCUAGCUAUAUAUCAUAACAUGUAUUCUUGUAAAUUAGGGCAGUUCCAGAACCUAGAGUGAGAUCACUACGGAAGAAAAUUUUGAAAUAUCUCUUUCCAAGGAUCUUUGAACAAAAAAUUAGUUGUGAUUAAAAAUUCCAUCCAGAUCUGGGGUUCGCAAACUUUUCCACAACGGGAUCAUUGUCGUUAUGUGAAUUUGUUUCUGAAAGGAUGGCUAAGAAGUGUGGGAGGAGAUCGGAGUAAUGUGUUGCAGGAUUUGCUGCUCGUGGGGACAGGGUAUAGAACUGUUACUCUCUAGUUGUCCCCUUCUUGCGGGAAAUAUUAUUAGGGCCCA
This 3699-nucleotide long non-coding RNA is filed under the name Canis lupus familiaris (dog). Its description in RNAcentral is "lncRNA (ENSCAFG00000057053.1)". The record is from RNAcentral. Lineage: Eukaryota; Metazoa; Chordata; Mammalia; Carnivora; Canidae.